Molecule: unclassified non-coding RNA, 329 nt
Filed under: soil metagenome
Description: partial contains 5.8S ribosomal RNA, internal transcribed spacer 2, and large subunit ribosomal RNA
Rfam family: 5.8S ribosomal RNA (bases 1-120)
Source: RNAcentral
GAUGAAGAACGCAGCGAAAUGCGAUAAGUAAUGUGAAUUGCAGAACUCAGUGAAUCAUCGAAUCUUUGAACGCACAUUGCGCCCCCUGGCAUUCCGGGGGGCAUGCCUGUUCGAGCGUCAUUACAACCCUCAAGCUCUGCUUGGUAUUGGGCUCUGCUGGGACCGGCAGGCCUUAAAAUCAGUGGCGGCGCCACUCGGCUUCAAGCGUAGUAAUUCUUCUCGCUUCGGAGACCCGGGUGCGUGCUAGCCAGCAACCCCCAACUUUCUUAGGUUGACCUCGGAUCAGGUAGGGAUACCCGCUGAACUUAAGCAUAUCAAUAAGCGGAGGA